Molecule: long non-coding RNA, 1508 nt
Organism: Pistacia vera
Lineage: Eukaryota; Viridiplantae; Streptophyta; Magnoliopsida; Sapindales; Anacardiaceae
Exons: 3
Source: RefSeq, a predicted model, not a curated record
UAUUUGUCAUAUAAAUCUGUUGGAAUCAAGUAAAUCUAACUGUUUUCAGAUUUUCAACAUUUUUUGUCUAUUCUAUUUUAUCCCCAACAGCAGGUCACCUUUCAUUUAACUCUUCAAAUUUCUUAACUUGUCCAUUGAUUUUCUGCAGUUUAUAAUCUCUGGUUUUUCAAUCUUUAGGAUGUUAGCCGAACACUCUUUCAUCUGUAGAUCCUCCAGAGCAGCACCUGCUCUUGAGGAGUAUGAACAUAAUGGAGAAGUUGAUUAUACACUUGGACUACAUGGAAAGGCAGCUUCAUGUGGAAAAUCUAUAGUUGGCUGAUUUCUUGUUAUAUGCCUCGAGGAUAUAAGGCCCUACACGGGAGUUGGAUGGCUUUGCCACUUGCCAGUGCCUCUCUUUCCACGUGGGAAGACCCCACCAGGUUUUAUGGGUUUGACCUAGAUGAGCAUCAUGUUUACACAAGGACAGAUAGAGGUGAUGGUCUUAGGGAGACUUUGUCCUGCCAACUCUUUGGCAAGACAUGCUAGAGGCUCGUUCUUGUGCUUGUAUAAAGCAUGGUGCUAUAUCACUAGAUGGCGGAAUUUUGAAAGAGAAUGGAUUUAUUUUUCUUGGGCAUUGGAAUCUGACAAUAUGUUUUCCGGUUGUUGGGUCGAUGAUAUGCUUCCAUCUUCCAAAAGUACAGAAAAAUUGAACCAAAUUGAAGAAAAGAAAGCGGAGUUAGGUAAGCUCAUGUACUUAAGAAAGAAACAUACUACAGCUCUUGAGAAAGCUUUGAAGAAGCUAAAUAAGAAAAAGGAAGAGUAUAAACAACAUAUGGUUGUAUCACACCAAAAUUGAGUGACUAUUACUUGGACUAUGGACAUCCAAAGGAAGAGCACAGUUCAGAAAUUUCUCCUCCUAGAUCAUCUAGUUCAUCCGUUUUACUUCUAUAAAAUAGUUGAAAAUUUAUAUAUUUUUGUGAAUAUCCAUAGCACCAUAGCAUAGGAGGGAAAAUGUACAUUUGUGAAUGCCAUAGAAAUGAUAAGAUUAACUUGGAAUAAUUUAAGAGUUUAUGCCAUAGAAAUCAUAGAUUAACUCCAAUCUCUUUCAAGAGUUUAUGCCAUAGAAAUUAUAGAUUAACCUCAACAACUUUAAGAGAUUACAGCAAAGUGGUAGGCAGUUUGCUGAUCAAUACAUCUUUUUCUUCUGUAUUUAACCUUAUAAUUACCUUUCUUUUAAUGCAAGCACAGAGUAUUUUGAAGAUUGAAUGUAGCAGUACAGUAGAUUUUGUUGGUAAAUAACUGGUUGUUUUGAUAUAUCUUGCAUCUAAGACUCUGGAUAUUUGCCGGCUUGAACUUGGCCUCUGCCUUUGGCCUAUCAAACCUUGGCAGUGGAUUCGGGAACAUUUAUGUUCAUUAGGAUACUGAGCUUCUGCAUUUUUAGUUCUAAAAGACUUUAUCAUAGUGUCAAUAUUUACCUUUUAACUAUAAUCACAAUUUUAUAAUAGUUAAUUUUAGUUCUAAAAUGAAUU